Molecule: transfer RNA, 69 nt
Filed under: Dipodomys ordii (Ord's kangaroo rat)
Lineage: Eukaryota; Metazoa; Chordata; Mammalia; Rodentia; Heteromyidae
Rfam family: tRNA
About the family: Transfer RNA (tRNA) molecules are approximately 80 nucleotides in length. Their secondary structure includes four short double-helical elements and three loops (D, anti-codon, and T loops).
Source: Rfam by way of RNAcentral
GGGAAUGUGGCUUAGUGGUAGAGUGCUUGCCUAGCAUGCAGAAGCCCUGGGUUUGAUUCCACAUUACCA